AUGCUUCCCCUCAGCCUGUUUCCUUUUAUGCUUACUCUGUGCCCGCCAGGCACUCGGCCAUGGAUGGCUGCCACCUGACCCCAGCUGUACUGCUUUCAUUAAUCCAAGGUGAGAGGCGCACACGGGGCGCUCUCUGAACCCUCCAGGUGAUUUUAAUGUGCAGCCAGGUUAGAAAACCUCUGCUUGGUCUUUGUGGCCUUCACGUCGUUGCUUAAGCUUUUGCAUCCUCCCAACUCCUGACCUUUACACGGGCUGCCCCUUGCACAGGAUCCUACCUACUUCUUCUGGCUGCCCGUUCACACUUCUAAGAGGAGGCUAUCAGGCUUUCAGAUGUUGCGAGGUAGGGAAGGCCGGUAAAUCAUCAUUUUGUGAGAAUAUGAGAGGAGGGAUGUUACCUGGAACAUGGGGAGAAGGGCCUUCCUUCGUGGAAAAUGGGCUUUGUCUUGCAAUUCUGGCCGGCUGUGGCUCCAGAUCACAGAAGGCUUUGUCUUCUCUAAGACAAAGGAAGAGCAGAAAUGAGAGACUGUGACAGACUUAGAAUCCAUUCCACCUGUGAACUUACGUGUCCUCUACAAAUUCUUUGCACAGCUUCCUUGCAACCUUCUCUCACCUCUGCACAUUACAGAAAUGGGUGUGAUCAUAGUACCUAUCUGUCUCAGAGGUCGGUGUGAGAUUUAACUGAGUGACUGCUUCUGAAGUCCGUACCCAGAUCUUAAGUGUUGAAAUCAGCACGUUAAUAUUUGGUUUAGAAGAUUAUGUAUAAGACAGUUCCAAAGUUAUCCUUUUUUCAUAAUGUCCUUGUCACUUUUUGGAAUAUGCAAGAAGCUACUUUAAAAAACUGAAAGAACAGAAGAUUUUAUGUUUAGAAGAACUUUCCAAGAUAGGAAGCAUCACAGGGGAUCGACCUCAGGACCUUGAGCUUCUGAGGCAGGCGACGGCACCACUGAGCUAAAUCCCUGGCCCAAUUUACCCAUUUUUAAGUGUCUGGGUCAAUGGCAUUUAGUACAUUCACAUUGUCCUGCGACCAUCAGCAUGUUUCAUCUCCAGAACACGGUCAUGUUCUCAAGCCAAAAGUCUGUAUCCAGCAAACCCUAACUCCCCAACCCCCGGCUCCUGGCAGCCACUGCCCUCUUUUCUAUCUCUGUGGAUUUGUCUGUUCUUAGGAUCUUCUAUGAGUAGUCUUCUACAAUUGUGUAUUUGUUGUUUCAUGACUGGCGUAUUUCACUUAGCAUAACGUUUUAAAAGUCCAUCUAUUUGGUAACGUGUCAGAACCCCUUUCCUAUUUUACACUAACUAAUAUCCUACGGUAUGUAUCUACCGCAUUCUGCCUGUCCAAUCAUUCUCUGACAAAUAUUUCGUUGUUUCCACGUUUCGGCUAUUACAAACAUAGAUAUACAGCUACCUCUUCUGAGUCUCUGCUGUCAUUUUUUUGGGUAUAUAUAAAUGUUGAUUCUUGUCAUUUUUAGUCUAGUUAACUAUAACAUUUAAUUGAGCACUUCUGUAUGUGUGGCAUGUCAAUUCAUGUGAAAAGUAUCAGUGAAAAAUAGGAGAGUCUGGCUUUGUAGAGAGCUCACAAAUUUGAUAAAGGAGAAUUAUCCAAAAUAAUAAUAUUUUGUGUUAUCAUUUUACUAUAUAUCCCAUAGUUUUCAUUAAAGAAUUUUAAGCAUAUUAUCUAGGAAGUAGACCCAAUGAUAGUGUUCAUUCUGAACUCUCAUUUUUCUAAUGUAACUAAAAAUUAAAAGCAGGAAGAUACUGAUACUGAAGAGUUAUU
Long non-coding RNA from Heterocephalus glaber (naked mole-rat), 1771 nucleotides. The record is from Ensembl. NCBI's taxonomy places the organism in Eukaryota, Metazoa, Chordata, Mammalia, Rodentia, Bathyergidae.